CUGGAUUUUACUGGGAAUUAAUCUGCCCUAAUCAUAAGUAUAGGAUAUCUUCAUUAGUUCUAUGUCAUAAUCACAAUAACCUUGUUGAUGUUCAUGGGAUGUGUGAGAGUUGCCUAUUCUCGUUUGCCACAGUAAAUAAGUCGAAUGCUGAAACCUACCGAUUGCUGGUUGGAAAAUUGGGGGCAGAGCCUUACCUAACUGAUGAGGAUCCUUUACUCGAGGAGAAAACAAAGAGUUCGUCAGGAGUAAGAAAAUGUUAUUGUUGUAAAGAGGAAUUUGUUACCGGAGGAUAUGCUAAAAAAUUGUUCAAGAUUACAUCUUCAUGUACUGACACAGUUGAACUAGAUGCACCUUUGUCUGUGACUAAUGGACAAGAGAGGGGUGACCCCAAG
Molecule: unclassified non-coding RNA, 392 nt
Filed under: Hevea brasiliensis (rubber tree)
Lineage: Eukaryota; Viridiplantae; Streptophyta; Magnoliopsida; Malpighiales; Euphorbiaceae
Source: RNAcentral